GGGUUGUGAGGUUAAGCGACUAAGCGUACACGGUGGAUGCCCUGGCAGUCAGAGGCGAUGAAGGACGUGCUAAUCUGCGAUAAGCGCCGGUAAGGUGAUAUGAACCGUUAUAACCGGCGAUUUCCGAAUGGGGAAACCCAGUGUGACUCGUCACACUAUCAUUAACUGAAUCCAUAGGUUAAUGAGGCGAACCGGGGGAACUGAAACAUCUAAGUACCCCGAGGAAAAGAAAUCAACCGAGAUUCCCCCAGUAGCGGCGAGCGAACGGGGAGGAGCCCAGAGCCUGAAUCAGCAUGUGUGUUAGUGGAAGCGUCUGGAAAGGCGCGCGAUACAGGGUGACAGCCCCGUACACAAAAGCGCAUGUGCUGUGAGCUCGAUGAGUAGGGCGGGACACGUGGUAUCCUGUCUGAAUAUGGGGGGACCAUCCUCCAAGGCUAAAUACUCCUGACUGACCGAUAGUGAACCAGUACCGUGAGGGAAAGGCGAAAAGAACCCCGGCGAGGGGAGUGAAAAAGAACCUGAAACCGUGUACGUACAAGCAGUGGGAGCCCCACCACUAAGCCAGUGGUGAACUCCACAUACGCAUCCUUUGCUGAGGAUACGGUUAACGGAGCGAAAGCGACGUUCAACCGCAAAAGAAGCAGAGGGGGCUU
This 653-nucleotide ribosomal RNA is filed under the name Salmonella enterica. RNAcentral describes it as "partial 23S ribosomal RNA". It matches the Rfam family "Bacterial large subunit ribosomal RNA", at positions 1 to 669 of the family's 2925-position model. The record is from RNAcentral. Lineage: Bacteria; Pseudomonadati; Pseudomonadota; Gammaproteobacteria; Enterobacterales; Enterobacteriaceae.